RNAcentral lists this long non-coding RNA (398 nucleotides) under Marmota monax (woodchuck). Lineage: Eukaryota; Metazoa; Chordata; Mammalia; Rodentia; Sciuridae. The record is from RNAcentral.
GUGGAACUUGCUGAAGUGUUUUGUUUUGCUGACGGGAUGUUUCCUUUUAAUCUGGUUAUGCAUGCCUUAAAGCACAGCAUGUACCCUCCAAUCCACACCCAUUGCCACUUGUCACAUUUCACCAUGUCACAGUUUCCGUAUUUCACCUUAUCUGGGAGAUUCCUAAAGCCAUUUGAGAUUACACCCCCUUAGCACUGCAAAGUUCUUGAACUGGUGACUCCCAAUUUCAACUUCUCCCUCAAAACUAUUCUUUAUAUGCCACUAAUUACCUGGGUAUCCUAUAGAAUCUAAAGAAAUUCAAAUAUUUAAUUAUCGCACACUGAACUCAUCUGAAGGUCCAACUCUUUUCUCAACUUUGAUAAUGAUUUUCUUUACCCCCCUAUUUUUCCACAUUAAAG